GAUGAAGAACGUAGCGAAAUGCGAUACUUGGUGUGAAUUGCAGAAUCCCGUGAACCAUCGAGUCUUUGAACGCAAGUUGCGCCCGAAGCCACUAGGCCGAGGGCACGCCUGCCUGGGCGUCACACGCCGUUGCCCCCCCAUCUACUCCUUCGGGAUUGCGGGGGGGCGGAUGAUGGCCUCCUGUGCGCCUAGCCGCGCGGUUGGCAUAAAUACCAAGUCCUCGGCGACGCACGCCACGACAAUCGGUGGUUGCGAAACCUCGGUGGCCCGUCGUGUGCGUUCGUCGCGCAUCGAGGGCUCGAAAAAAUGCUCGGCUCCGGCUGGGCUUUCAACGCGACCCCAGGUCAGGCGGGGUUACCCGCUGAAUUUAAGCAUAUCAAUAAGCGAGGA
Molecule: unclassified non-coding RNA, 390 nt
Filed under: soil metagenome
Description: partial contains 5.8S ribosomal RNA, internal transcribed spacer 2, and large subunit ribosomal RNA
Rfam family: 5.8S ribosomal RNA (bases 1-122)
Source: RNAcentral